CAAGGAAUAACCAAAAUGAACAUUUUAUCAGCAUUUGCUUCUGUGAUCAACCCCUCCAAACCCUGCCUUUGUCAAUGUUUGAAAAAGUGUUAAUGACCAAACUGCAAAAAUGUGCAAAGUGCAAUGACCAAAAUGAACAUUUUAUCGUCUAUGUUUAAACAAUUAAACAUACCGUGUCAGGUUGGAUUCAUCCCAAUUUCAUACUGAAACCCACUACCACAAUUUCUUCUAUUUGAUGAUAUUACUCAAUAUUCGUAAUUUAACAGAAGAACUACUUCAUAGAAUUCUAUCAUUUUUUUUCUAGUUCACCAUCUGUUUGAUGAUAUUACUCAAUAUUCAUUGCAAAACUUUAAAACCCCUUUUUCAGAAUCAGUCCUAAUUGGUUGCAUCUCGUCGUGUGGAGCUGUACAAGCGUCUAGUUGCUAAGUUUAGGGAGAUUUUGUUGUCACCCGAUUUGCCCAAGUAUGCUGGAUACAACUUCUGAGACUAUCAGCCAAGAGUGGAAGGAGAUGGUCUCUUUUUAUGGUGGGAUGGGAUUGUAGGUUGGCUGGUUACAGGAGCGUGUUUGUCUUUAUGAUGACUGGUUAGUUAAACGUUCGUCUGUCAAUGCAUUGGAAACUUGUCAAACGGUAUGUCUUGGAAGCCAAACGCAAGGUGGUUAGCAUUUUAGAGAGUGAGCUGCAGGUGCUCUGUGCUGAGUUGGAUAUGGAGUGUGACACUCAGUCUAGGUUUACUUUCUCUCUCUUUGAUUACUAUUUACUUAUUUAGUAGUGAUAGUUAUCGAAAGAAAAAGCCAUUCUAUUACACUUUUUUUGGUUAAUGAAAAUGCAUGAUCUUUUGUUUGUGACCAUCUAUCAGUUGAACUAUUGUAUAUAUGCUUUCAACAAUCUACCAGUUACUACUACAUGUCAUAUUCAUUUCAAAUGCUUGAUUUUAUGCGACGAAGCUGAUUUGCAAUUUCUAAUCUUUUAAGCCUUAAGGUUUGUGUGGGUUUUAGCUUUUAGGUGACUUAGUUGCAA
Molecule: long non-coding RNA, 1019 nt
Filed under: Aquilegia coerulea
Lineage: Eukaryota; Viridiplantae; Streptophyta; Magnoliopsida; Ranunculales; Ranunculaceae
Description: long non-coding RNA (ACOE_LNC001038)
Source: RNAcentral